This 253-nucleotide ribosomal RNA is filed under the name uncultured bacterium. RNAcentral describes it as "partial 16S ribosomal RNA". It matches the Rfam family "Bacterial small subunit ribosomal RNA", at positions 524 to 776 of the family's 1533-position model. The record is from RNAcentral.
UACGUAGGGGGCAAGCGUUGUCCGGAAUUAUUGGGCGUAAAGGGCGCGUAGGCGGCGCGAUAAGUCAAAGGUGAAAUCCCUCGGCUCAACUGAGGAACUGCCUUUGAGACUGUCGAGCUUGAGGCCGGGAGGGGGUAGCGGAAUUCCCAGUGUAGCGGUGAAAUGCGUAGAUAUUGGGAGGAACACCAGUGGCGAAGGCGGCUACCUGGGCCGGUUCUGACGCUGAUGCGCGAAAGCGUGGGUAGCAAACAGG